CCACACUCAAGGUUGUCGUGAAAUUAUAAUAGGGAUUAAGGGAGUAACUUAUGGUUCUACAAAUUUUGGGGUAAAACAGGGAAGCCUAUGCAGUGCUUUAGAGCCAUAUCAAUUGGACGGAAAAAAAAGAACUUAAGCACUUUGGUUCUUAUGGGUAUGACUUGAACUUCUCUUCUGCGUUCUUUUUAGAUUAUAAUUUGUACAUUGUUCAUAGGAAUCCAUUAUUUAUUGGAAAAUUUACACCAGUAAGACAUCGUAGGCCGCAAGGUUAUUUAAGUUUCAUCUUAUUCAUAUGGUUAAGGAGAUUUAAUAGUACAAUGAAUAGACUGUACGAAUGCUUUCUAUUUAGAAGAUUGGAGAUUAGUUUAACUUAUCCGUAGCUUGGAAUAAUACACAACAACAACGGCAACCCAAUACAAUCCCACGAAGUGGGGUCUGGGGAGGAUAAUGUGUAUGUAGAUCUUACCCCUAUCCGGAUAAGGCAGAAAAGUUAUUUCUGAUAUAGCCUCUGCUCAGGAAAAUGGAAAAAGCAUCUGGAAUUACAUCACUAAAAAUAAUGAAGGGUCCUAACUAAUAAUAACUAUGAACAUUGAAAUAUUAAAAUAGAACUACCCAUGGUAGAAUAGAAUUGGAUGUCAUUUUGUCAUCGCAGUUAAAGUACAGAUAUAUAUUAUGUGACGAUCCGAUCGGUCAUCUUAAAAAUAAAUGACCCAAUCCCCUAUUUACUGCUUUCCUUAAGUUUAUUUAUAUUAAUUUAGUUAGUUAGGACGUUCAGUUUUGAGUUUCGGAGAGUUUUGGGACACUUAGUCUCUAGUUGAGAGCUUAAGCGUUGGAAAGUUGCCCCUAGUCGGAACAAUUUUAAGACGGCCUCAAAAUGGAAAUCCUAUGGUUUCGUUAGCUUUUUUAGGUGAUUUCGGGGUUGGGAGCAUGUUCGAAAUGUGUUUUGGAGGUCCGUAGCUACUUUUGACUUGAAGUGCGGAAGUUUAAAUUUUUGAAGUUUCUGGUUAAUAGGAGAGAUUUUGAUCCGAUGGUCGGAAUGGAAUUCCGAAAGUUUCAGUAGCUCUGUCAUGUUAUUUGGGAUAUGUGUGUAAAAUUUAGGUCAUUCAAACGUAGUUUGCUUGGGUUUUUCAUCAAAAGAGUAUUUCGAAGGUUUUUAGAAAAUUACGCUUGAAUUCAAUGUAAUUUGAUGGUUAUGGUGUUGUUUAAGGUAUUUUGAUGAUUCGAACAAGUUUGAAUGAUAUUUUACAAUGCGUUGGUGCUUUUGGUCGAGGUCUCGGGCGCCUCGGGGUGAUUUCGGAUGGCUAUCGGGAAGUUUUGAAUUUGGGUGAAGUGCAGAAAAUGCAGCAGCAGGUGCAGGAGGAUUUUUGCCUUCACGAUCGCGGGCCUGGGGCCGCAUUCGCGUAGAGGAAAGUUGGGGUCCCUGAGUUUUGUACUUCGCGUUCGCAUCUGGUGUGUCGCAUUCACGGAGUGUCCUUGUGGUUAUCUUUCGUGUUCGUGUGUUAAGUGUCGUGUUCAUAUAGUCAUGUUUGGCGCAUGAAGGUUCAAGAGCUAAUACUCUUCGCAUUCGCGGGAGUGGGGACGCGUUCAUGGAGAUUCACAGGUCCAAGGCAUCGCGUUCGCGGGUGUGCAGAUGCGUUCGUGAAGAGUUAUUUCUAGAGGCCAGAAUUUGUGCUUCGCGAUCGCGAGCCUGGGGCCGCAAUCGCAUAGAAGAAAGUCAUAGCUGGGCAGGUUUUUAAAAUAUUUCAUCCACGAGCCUAAGUUAUUUUUCCAUCAUUAUUGAGCAUUUUGAGAGCUCUUUGAGAGAAAUUGAAUAGGGAUUUGAAGAGAAUUGAUUGGAUGUAAGUUUUACGAACCAAAAACGUGAUUAUUAUGUGAAAUUAGCCUAGAAAUUCAUGGUAUUUAAUUGAAAAAUUAAGAAUUAUGGCUAGGAUUUUUGAAUUUUAAGUUGGGAUUAGGGGUCAUUUGAACUCUGAUUUUUGUGUUCUUUUAAUGUAUAGACUCGUGAGAGUAAGAGGUUUUCGAAAAUAUAAGUUUCACCUGAUUCCGAGAAGCUGGUAUGAGGGGUGUUUUUGUUAUUUUACCUACUUUCGCAUCUUAGCUUUGAAUUAAAUAGUAGAAUCAGUUGUUUGAGAUGUUAUUUAGGAUAUUUAAUAGAAUUGAAUAGAUUUGGUCCAUUUGGAGUCAAACACUCGUGGCAAAAGUUUGAUUUCGAGUUGAUUUUUUAGCCGGUUCGAGGCAAGUGGCUUGUCUAACCUUGUGUAGGAGACUUUCCCCUUAGGAUAUGAUAUUUGGUAAUUGAAUGCCCUGUAUGUGAGGUGACAAGCGUGUACUUGAGCUAAUUGUUGAAAAUCAAAUUUUAUUUAAAUAUUUAGAUUGAGUUUCUUUCUUAUCUGCUUAUUUCUAUUUGCCAUUAUAGCCCGUUUAGUUUAAAAAAGCAUGCCUAGUUGAUCUAAAUUGCCUAUUUGGUUAGGUUGCCUUGUUUGUACUACGUGAAGCAUGCUAGGCUAGAACUACUUGUUGCCUUAUAUUUCAUUGAACUUCAUUGUUGAAUAUCUUCUUGUUGUGUCUGCGUAUUUACGUUGGGACUACGGAUGUGGGAUUUCGGUAGCUCCCGCCCUAUCUAUUUACUUUGGGACUAUGGGUUAGAUUCCCGAUAGAUCCCCUACACAUUUACUUUGGGACUACGGGUUAGAUUCAUGAUAGAUCCUCGUUGUUGGUACUGGUAUUGAGUUGUUUACUCCGUGUUACCUUAUUUUCUGUGUGUUAUUUGUUGCCUUGUGUAACCUGUAUUACUUUAUAGUUGUACUCAUUAUUCAUGUUUAUUACAUAUUGUUUCAAAAUGUAUUAUUAUGUUUAUUCUUAGUAGAGCCCUGACCUUCCUCAUCACUACCCGACCGAGGUUAGGCUUGGCACUUACUGAGUAUUAUGGUGGUGUAGUCAUGCCCCUUCUACGCAUGUUUUUCAUGAGCAAAUCCAGGUACCUCCACCUAGACGUGUUAUUCUUGAGGCGGAGAGAUCUAGUAGAUACUUCGAGGUACAUCUACCGUGUUUGCAGACCAUGAGUCUCUAUCUUAUUAUAGAUUUACCAGUUAGCUUUCCUUUCAUACUGUUAUUUUAGACAUUAUGGAUUUAGAGUUGUGUAUUACAUUCCGUUAGCUUGUGUUCCCAUGAGUUUUUAGGUUUUUGGAUAGUAUUGUAGUAGUUGAGCUAUUGUUAGGCUGACCUAGUUGUAGGAAUUAGGUGCCGUUAUAACAUGUUCAUGGAGGGAGAACAGGGAUCAUGGCAUAUUGACUUUUGAAGAAAAUUAGAGUGACCCUAUCUUUCUGGAGUUGAAAAGAGUUGCUUCACAACAAUCUUUCAAGUGUCACCAUAAGCGUUUAUAAGCAACUUCAUACUGCUUUUGUCCUCCUAAUUUGAGUUUGAGUUACUCUUCAAAGAACCACUAAAUUAUUACUAUGUAGAAAACAUGGUUGAUAGCCUUGCCAAAUUAUAUAAAAAGACUGAAUGAUAAGGAUCUAAAUUUGAAAUCAAACUUUUAGUUCAGAAUAGGUGAACUUACAUUAAUAGUUGUUACAGUAGCUUGGAUUAAUAUAAUUUGACAAAAUUAGAACUAAACAUGAAAUCCUAAGGGUGGAGCAUUAUAGAUUAGUUGUGGAUUAGCAUGAGUAAGAAAAUUAAUUAGAGAUCAAUAUGAUGUGAUUAUAGAUUAACCGAAAGGGGUCUCGCAAACUGCUCAAGAUGAUGAGCUUGGUAUUUUGAUACGAGUACGGUGAGUAGUAAUCUUACUGCAGUUUGUAUUUUCAUCACCUGCAUUAUUUAAACAUAAUUUUUAAUAUGACUAUAUAACUGAAUAAUUCGAGUUACAUGUGGGACAAGUCCUUUACUCAAUAUGAUACAGAAAUAUUUAUUUGACAUGAACACCGUUAUUUUAAAUAUUCUUGCUCUCACUAGAUAUGUUUUACAGUUACUUAGAUUUACUAUUGUAGAAAUGAAAUUUCAUCAUUUGAUAAAAAUCGAAAUGCCCUAUAUUGUUUUAAUAUAUUUUUCUAAGUAUAUACGGAUACCGAGACAAGUAUAAAUGAGAGUAGACUUUGAAGGAUCCCGUAGCUAACGAUGGGUUCGUUAGACCUGGUGUACCUUAUAUUACUGAUUACCGAGUAUAGUCAUAGCCCUUGCUAGUGAGAAGGUAGAACUAGCACACGUUAUAAUUUUCCCUCGAUUAGGGACCUACAGUUAUAUUUGACUCCUUUUACGAAGGGGUCCACACAGUGAUACAGAUUACAUGAUUCUUUUCUGGAAACCUCCCAAAUAUAAAUAUUUGCUACGACACAGUAUUUACCGAGUUUAUUGUUGAAUUGUUAAAUUGAUUUUGUUUCAGGAAACACAUAACAAGACUGAUUAUUAUUAUCGUUAAAAAGGGUAUUUUAUUUUGUGAUUAUUAUACAAUCAUAUUUUUUAUUUGUCCCCUAUUAAAAACGGUUGUGGCUAAGUAUUAUUACUCACUGAGCUAGCGACUCACUCCCGGCUAUUAUUUUUACAGAGACAAUAAUAGAAGUAGACGAUGAUUUUGUUAAGCAGAGUACACAAGUUGAUAGUUCCUCGUGAACCCCGCAUUUAUUUGCAUGGAAAAGGUUGUUAUUCAAUUCUUAUAGUCUCUUUCUUGAAACUCUUAGAGUCGCUCCAUAGUCAUUUUUAUGAGUGUCAUAAGUAUUCUUUUAUUGGUAUAGUCUUUUGACUUGUAUUAUACUUUCGUAUCGUAUACUUGGAGAUGAAGUUAGUAUUAUCGCAUUGGAAAUACAUCAUGGAUGAGCAUUACAACUUGUUUGUUCGAUAUAGGUUGGUUGUGUUGUUGAUUUCUGAGACAUGUAAAUUUUGGAUAGUCCUAAAAUAAGGGAAACUCUGUCCAAUUUUCUGUAAAUUAUCAAUGAGGCUUACUUGGGAGAACUUGCUCCUAAGCACCCGUCAUGAUCCUAAAUUAGGUCGUGAAAAAAGGUCAAGGCUUGGGUUCCAGCUGGCUAGACAAUGUAAUAAUAAAGAGUAGUAGAUUGUGAUAGAGGAAGAGAGCAAGAACUUUGAUACUUUUAUAUAUUUGUGUGUGUGUGUGUGUUAAAAAAAGAACGAGGCUUAUAUAGCAUUAAGUAGAGUAAUAAAAAUAAGGCAAGGAAAAUUAAUGUCACAUAAAUAAAGUAUGCAAAUCAAUUAACCAAUCAGUUAGGGCUAAACCUAAUCAAUUGAUAAGAUCGAAUCCGAAGAAUAUUGCUUAAAUUCGGGAGAGUUUCAUACGAAAUCAGUCAGCAGGCAUGUUUGAAGAUAAAUAAGGUAAGCAAUAAAUCUAAAGACCAUAUAUUAGACUAAUUAAUCUAAAUAAAGCAAGUAGUACCUAUUAAAUAUCAUAAAUGAAAAAAAAAUGUAAAAUCACGGGGAAGUACUAAUUUUAAUAGGAAAAAUAUAAUUCGAACCCUAAGUAAAAUUAGUAAAUCUAUUUUGAUUGACAGAGAUAAAUAAUAAUGGGAAAUAUUGAAGCGAACAGUGAGACAAAUGAACAAACAAAGGACUAGAACAUAUGCAUGAAAGAGUCGGUAGAACUAGUAAAGAUAAUUAGAUUCAAACACUUAGAAACUUUAGAAAAGUUUUGUAGAAACAAGAAGAAGUGGAACCUUUGUUUUAGAGAAAAAUUAUGAUCGAUUAACAGUAAGGAAAGCAAAAUACCGUUAAAUGAAAAUUCUAUAGAAACUCAAAACCACUACAGAUCUACAGCAGAUAAUAAAGAAUCUAAAUGCUAAUUUGGAAAACAUUAAAAUUAGCCGAUAACAAGAAGAACAGGAAAAUUUUAAAGAAAACUACCGUGUAAACUUGAAAAUAUUUAAAAUCCACAAGGAUCUGAAAAGGUUCAAAGUGUAAGAGAUGAGGGUUUUGAGGAAAUGACACAGAUGAAAGAAAAUAUGGUUUGGAACCAGAGAUUCGAGCCAUAAACACAAGAUAACAGUACUCACAAACAGAGAUGACCGUAGAUAGAUUCUUAAACAGUUUAGAACAAAAUCUGGGUUGGACCUCUUCGAGAUCCCUUCAUAAAAUACCAAAAUCGAACAACUAUAUGAGGAAAGAGGCCGAUAGGGGCCUCAAAUCAUCACGGAACUCUAUGGAACGAGAAAUAAUCAAGGAUUUGGGGGAAAAAUUUAGGUAACGACGCUAGGGUUAGGAUUAGUUUCAGAGAAAAAUAAAGAAGAUGGGGAUCUAUAGGCGGCUGUCUUCAAAGAAAUUGCUAGGGUUAGGGGGUCGUUUGAGUUAAAAAAAAGGAAAGGAGGAAUGGGGGCCGUUGAUCUCAUAGAUCAACGGCAAAGAUUAGAAGGGUUUGGGUCAGGUAAACGUCUUUAGGUUUGGGUUGGAUUGGUUUGGGCUUAGGUUAAAAUUAAAUUGAGCUGGGGAAGGUCAAAUUUUGGAUAUAAUUAGAGGCUAUUUGUUUAAUACCUAGUUUACUAAAUAAAAUAUAAUUUAAAAAUAGCUAAUUAAAUGAUAAAAAAUGAUUUUAUGCAUGAAGGUGGGUUAAAAUAAUUACUUAAUAUUAUGAAAAUAUAAAAAGUUAUUUUUUGUAUAGAUAAUAUAGUUAUGCAUAUAUGUGGGCCAUUAUUGAAAAAUAUGUAAUUAUAGUCUUAGAAAUACAAAUGUAGUUGUAAAAAAUACAAUUAAAAUAUUUGACUUAUAUAAGUGUGAGCAUGUGAUUCUUGCCUCAUUUAAAUUAAGCCUAUAGAAUUCUCAGACUUAGGAUUUCUCCUUUUUAUUAUUCAACUAUAGGAUUUAAUUGCGCAUAUUUGUGUGUAUUUUCAUUGGUGCAUGCAUGACUAGUCAGAAAAAAUAACACAAAAAAAUUACAUAAGCAUUUAGGAUUUGAUUUCACAUAUUUUUGUUACAAUUAAUUGGUAAUUAGGGUUUUGUUAUGCGAAAUAUAAAAAUCACAAAAAUAAAUAGUUUAUUUUGGCAUUAUUUAAUUUGUAGUAUCAAAACUGUUAAUUUUCAUAUUUGAUUAGUUUAGGUGAUUAUUAGUCUAAUCUAGUUGAAUUUAGUAUUUAGUUUAAUAAGAAAUUUUAAAAUAAAAAGUUUUAAAAAUGAAAAUGAAAAAAAGAAGAAGGAAUUAAAAAGAAUUAGAUCAAGCUGGCCACAAUUGGGCCAAACCUGGGAGACCCAAAUCCCUCUACCCAUCCAAAAUACCCAAAACAUCGGCCCAACCCGUCUCUGACCUAAGAUGCUAUGAGAGACGCCCCAAAACGACGUCAUUUAGGGGCCAUCAAUCUCAGCCGUUCAUCAACCAUAAUCCAACGGUCUGGGUUCGAUAAGGAGAGUACAUAAAAAUGUCUGAAUCAGACCAAACCCUAGAGACAAACAGUCUCUUCCUCGUACCCUCUGUCUCCACUAAUACGCUUCCCUACCGCUGCCGGCCGGAAAUCAUCUCGGCAGGCGGCAGAGCUCCAACGCUUCCAAAAAUACACCCCUGACUCACUGUGCCCUCAUCUUUCUGAUGCCCUAAGAAUCAAGUCUCGGCUGUGAGCCAAUCUCUUCGAAUAUUAGAAUCUUUGGGCACCGCUUCCACCGCCCACGGUGGCGCCACCGCCGGAACCUUUCCAAAAUAACACCCUAUGUCCCUUACCUCAUCCCCAAAAUGGAUCCAUGUUCAAUUUCCUCCAAACCUCCGUCCAUUGCUUCGAAUAUUAGUUCAAAGCACAGACCAAAUCUCUAACCUCCCUGGAAUCAUUGAAACUGAUACCAGGUGACCUCCUCACCUUCCUCUCCACAAAUCCACAAGCAACGACUUUCAAAUUUCAAUUGAACCUGGCCAAAAAUCAAAUCAAAAUGGUCUGAAACCCAAACCCCACCCCAAACUAACUAACCUUACACCUGUUACCCUCUCCCCUUCUCAGAUUAUUGCACAAAGUUCCCAAAAGGCCCAUGACAUUCCCAAAUUUGAAACCAAAAAUGAUUGGAAACUACGAGACACCAAAGUCAAAGGUCUUAGGGCUGUUAUGUUAAGCUAAGUUCCCUGUUCUCCUCUUGAUUGCUUCUAAAUUUUUUUCUUUGUUUUCGUUUGUGUGAGUACAUGAAUGUUCUAUUUGCUCAUCUAUGAAAAUAUUAUGAUAAGUUGCUUUGUGUUCAUCCAGAAUCAUGGGCCUUUUGUUUUAUGUUUUUGAUAACCGGUUCUAAAUGGUCCCUUUACCAAUUGAAUUCAUAGAUGUUCUAUUGUGUUCGCUUAAAUUGUUCAUCUUUCCCUGGUAUAACUUUCCCUUUUCGUUUAAACUUGGUCAAUGUUCAUUUGUGAUAAACCUUAUGUUUGUUUCUGAAUUUUGUGCUGGUUAGCUUUAUUUUUUCCUCUUAGUAAUUCAGUCCCAUAUUUUGGUACCUCUCUAAAUCCGCCUAUAUAUAUGUGUUUCAUUGACCUGUUACUUAUCAAUUUUGACCAUUAUUUGUUUGCCUUUUUAUAGUAUAGUGUAGUCUUCAAUUUAACAGUUAGUCAUGCCAGCUUUAUUAAAACUCGACCCCAACUGAUAAUGAGACCAUGGUUAAUGGCCUUGAGUAGUUAACUAGGGUAAAUUUCUGACCAAAUGGAUAGGCACCAGAGUAGAGACAUUUAGGCUAAGUAAUUGAGAAGGAAAGACAAAGGUAACAGGGGUAUUUGGGCAUAAGAAUCUUGUAGCAAAUCCCUGGAACCUUCUAGUGGGAGGUUCGAAAUACAAUAUCUUGUAACUUUUCCCUUAAAACUUGAGGCACAAGUUAAAAAACAAGGGACCAAUUAAGCAAUUUUGGAAAUAAGGACGGGACUAAUAAGAAAACAAUAAGAAAAGGUUGCCCUAAGGCUUUGACUAUAAAAGGGUAUCUUGUUGUUUUAAGAAAGAGAGGAAGAAGUCGAGAACACCAUCUGAAGAAUUCCCUGAAAAUCCUAAGCUUUUCUGGCAAAAACAAAUCUCCUAAAAUAAUCAAAUUUUGUUCAUUAUAAGAUGAAGAUGACUCAAAGCAUAUGCAUUUAGGGUUUUAGAGUCUACUUUGAGCAUUAAUCCCAGGCUGGUUUGCUAUUUCGAGCUAUGGGCUUGGAACUUGUGUUGUUGUUGGUCUUUCAAAACCUUCCUGAGUUUCCUGAUACUACUCCUGGGACUUAAUUGGUUGAUCUGCUGCUGUUUGUUGCUUUUCGCUUACCUUACUCAUAGGUGUUUUCCUCUUUGCUUUAAUUCCAAGUACUUACUAUCACUCAGGAAAUUUGGGAAUGCACAGCUGUGUAUAUGCAUGAUCAUAUUUGACAAUGAAUGUUGAUCUGCUGUUGUUUGUUGCUUCUCGCUUACCUUAAUCAUAGGUGUUUUCCUCUUUGCUGUAAUUCCAGGUACUUACUCUCACUCAGGAAAUCUGGAAAUGCACAGCUGUGUAUAUGCUUAGUCAUAUUUGACAAUGAAUAUAUUUGUAUUUUUCAUGUUAAUGUUAUAGUUGCAAAUAUUACUAGUUUAGUAUUAUUUGGAAUAUUCAUCUAAUCUUGGUGUUGUAAUAUGUAUAAACAUUUGGACUAUGCUGGACUGUUAGCUUUAAGUUAUUUAAAUUUUAGUAGAG
This 9582-nucleotide long non-coding RNA is filed under the name Nicotiana benthamiana. RNAcentral's name for it is "long non-coding RNA (NBEN_LNC034431)". Lineage: Eukaryota; Viridiplantae; Streptophyta; Magnoliopsida; Solanales; Solanaceae. The record is from RNAcentral.